RNAcentral lists this ribosomal RNA (435 nucleotides) under uncultured Pseudorhodobacter sp. RNAcentral's name for it is "bacterial SSU rRNA". It matches the Rfam family "Bacterial small subunit ribosomal RNA", at positions 8 to 489 of the family's 1533-position model. The record is from RNAcentral. Lineage: Bacteria; Pseudomonadati; Pseudomonadota; Alphaproteobacteria; Rhodobacterales; Paracoccaceae.
AGAGUUUGAUCAUGGCUCAGAAUGAACGCUGGCGGCAGGCCUAACACAUGCAAGUCGAACGGAUCCUUCGGGAUUAGUGGCGGACGGGUGAGUAACGCGUGGGAACAUACCCUUUGGUACGGAAUAGCCUCGGGAAACUGGGAGUAAUACCGUAUGUGCUCGAAAGAGGAAAGAUUUAUCGCCAAAGGAUUGGCCCGCGUUGGAUUAGGUAGUUGGUGGGGUAAUGGCCUACCAAGCCGACGAUCCAUAGCUGGUUUGAGAGGAUGAUCAGCCACACUGGGACUGAGACACGGCCCAGACUCCUACGGGAGGCAGCAGUGGGGAAUCUUAGACAAUGGGGGAAACCCUGAUCUAGCCAUGCCGCGUGAUCGAUGAAGGCCUUAGGGUUGUAAAGAUCUUUCAGAUGGGAAGAUAAUGACGGUACCAUCAGAAGAG